Molecule: ribosomal RNA, 471 nt
Filed under: Pseudomonas sp.
Lineage: Bacteria; Pseudomonadati; Pseudomonadota; Gammaproteobacteria; Pseudomonadales; Pseudomonadaceae
Description: bacterial SSU rRNA
Rfam family: Bacterial small subunit ribosomal RNA
Source: RNAcentral
UGCCGCGUGUGUGAAGAAGGUCUUCGGAUUGUAAAGCACUUUAAGUUGGGAGGAAGGGCAGUUACCUAAUACGUGAUUGUUUUGACGUUACCGACAGAAUAAGCACCGGCUAACUCUGUGCCAGCAGCCGCGGUAAUACAGAGGGUGCAAGCGUUAAUCGGAAUUACUGGGCGUAAAGCGCGCGUANGUGGUUUGUUAAGUUGGAUGUGAAAUCCCCGGGCUCAACCUGGGAACUGCAUCCAAAACUGGCAAGCUAGAGUAUGGUAAAGGGUGGUGGAAUUUCCUGUGUAGCGGUGAAAUGCGUAAAUAUAGGAAGGAACACCAGUGGCGAAGGCGACCACCUGGACUGAUACUGACACUGAGGUGCGAAAGCGUGGGGAGCAAACAGGAUUAAAUACCCUGGUAGUCCACGCCGUAAACGAUGUCAACUAGCCGUUGGGAGCCUUGAGCUCUUACUGGCGCAGCUAACGC